Molecule: long non-coding RNA, 258 nt
Organism: Xiphophorus hellerii (green swordtail)
Lineage: Eukaryota; Metazoa; Chordata; Actinopteri; Cyprinodontiformes; Poeciliidae
Exons: 2
Source: RefSeq, a predicted model, not a curated record
UAUUUUUUGUAUUUUAUUUUGUAAUAUUGGUUUCGAACUUACCCUAGGAAGUGACGCAAGUCUCAGUUAGUGCUGCGCUACCGCUCAAGAGAGCAAUUUAAUAUACUUCCGGGUCAGUUUUGCUACAGUCUUAGCAUGUGAGACCGCAUUCCUGGUGUAGUCCUGAGAAGUGAUGCUCCGAGUGUUAAGUUGAUGACAGAAAACUGCUGGCAACACUGAGCAUCAAGACAAAUAAACCAGCUCACAUCUGAAGUUAAA